Solanum pennellii is the source of this 554-nucleotide long non-coding RNA. RefSeq lists it as uncharacterized. NCBI's taxonomy places the organism in Eukaryota, Viridiplantae, Streptophyta, Magnoliopsida, Solanales, Solanaceae. The transcript is spliced from 4 exons. The record is from RefSeq and is a predicted model, not a curated record.
CUUGAAUAGAUAUAUCAGUCUACAUAUUACACUUCUCUUGUCCAAAAUCAACAAGCUUUCCAGCAAAUUCUUAACAAAAGUGAAUUGAUUGGACAGUCAGAAGAAAUUCAGAUGUUAUAGUCCAAUAUUGUUAAGCUGAUACAACACAAGUUCACCUCAUCUAAAAUAUCAGCAAGACACAUGUAUACAGGAUCAUCAAUCGGAGCUUCGUUGAUACGUGUGAGAGUUCGAGUUAGCUAUGGAGCAAUCGAAGAAAACCUACAGAAAAAGAACGUGGGUACUUGACAAUGGAUGCUCCAAACAUAUGUGCAGAAAGAAAGAAAGUUCAAAACUAUAAAAGAAAAUAGAUGGGGGGAUGUGUCAGAUUUGGAGACAAUGCUAAAAUGGAAUUAACUAGAGUCGGGAAUAUUACACUCAACUCAUCAUGCGAUAUAAUCGAAGUGUAUUUAGUUGAGAAACUCAAACAUAACCUUCUCAACGUUAGUAAACUUGUGAUGUUGGAUUUCAAGUUACUUUCAAUACAACCAGCUCAUCAUCAAACAUCCUCAGAAGAA